UACGUAGGUGACAAGCGUUGUCCGGAUUUACUGGGCGUAAAGAGCGCGCAGGCGGUCGUUCAAGUCGAGUGUGAAAGCCCCCGGCUCAACUGGGGAGGGUCACGCGAUACUGGUCGACUCGAAGGCAGGAGAGGGUAGUGGAAUUCUCGGUGUAGCGGUGAAAUGCGUAGAUAUCGAGGAGGAACACCUGCGGCGAAGGCGGGUUGCUGGGCUGAUACUGACGCUGAGGCGCGAAAAGCCAGGGGAGCGAACGGG
Molecule: ribosomal RNA, 255 nt
Filed under: uncultured bacterium
Lineage: Bacteria
Description: partial 16S ribosomal RNA
Rfam family: Bacterial small subunit ribosomal RNA
Source: RNAcentral